UGUCCCCAGAAUAGUCGUAUUUCUUAGCUGAUCUUCUAAAAGAAAAUUGAAAGUUUCAUCUCGUCAAAACUUCGUUCAAUAUUUCGAAAAAAAAAAUCAAUUGAACCAUUUUUUAAGGGAAUGUGGAGCUUGUAGAAAUAGUGUGCUUUAAAAUAAAUCUUGCCAUAGGGUAGUGCCUUGGUUUUUUUGUAUUUUGUUGUUUCUUUAUCAAAU
Molecule: long non-coding RNA, 213 nt
Filed under: Mytilus galloprovincialis (Mediterranean mussel)
Lineage: Eukaryota; Metazoa; Mollusca; Bivalvia; Mytilida; Mytilidae
Source: RNAcentral